RNAcentral lists this ribosomal RNA (483 nucleotides) under uncultured bacterium. RNAcentral describes it as "bacterial SSU rRNA". It matches the Rfam family "Bacterial small subunit ribosomal RNA", at positions 328 to 802 of the family's 1533-position model. The record is from RNAcentral.
AUGAAACACUCCUACGGGAGGCAGCAGUGGGGAAUUCUGGACAAUGGGGGCAACCCUGAUCCAGCAAUGCCGCGUGAGUGAAGAAGGCCUUCGGGUUGUAAAGCUCUUUUGUUGGGAAAGAAAAGAUUCGGGCUAAUACCCAGGAUUAAUGACGGUACCCAAAGAAUAAGCACCGGCUAACUACGUGCCAGCAGCCGCGGUAAUACGUAGGGUGCAAGCGUUGAUCGGAAUUACUGGGCGUAAAGCGUGCGCAGGCGGUUGUGUAAGUCAGAUGUGAAAUCCCCGGGCUCAACCUGGGAAUUGCAUUUGAGACUGCACGGCUAGAGUGUGUCAGAGGGGGGUAGAAUUCCACGUGUAGCAGUGAAAUGCGUAGAUAUGUGGAGGAAUACCGAUGGCGAAGGCAGCCCCCUGGGAUAACAUUGACGCUCAUGCACGAAAGCGUGGGGAGCAAACAGGAUUAGAAACCCUUGUAGUCCGAAGUUC